GGGGAAGAAAUAAUGAUGCCUGUCAGAGGAUCCCAGCCCUGGCCAGCCUGCAGAGCCAAAUGGGGGGCAGAGCGAAGCUGUGUAAAUUACAGAGGGCACUCAUUCUUGAGAAUUUCUAGUCUCUUCCAAACACAGCCUAAAUUCAUUUAUUAUCUCAGGCUCCUGAAUCAAAGCUGUGAGAAGGGAACAUGUCAAGAUAGCAAUGGAACAAGAUAAUGGGUGUAAAAUGACAAAAAACAGGAAACCUCUUCUCCAAUGAUUCCAAAUGAUGUCACAAAGAAAACAGAGUCUGUUAAGCAUGUAAAAGGCAACCAAAACUGCAGUUCAGCACCUAUGAAGUGACUUAUUAACUUUGCCUGCGUAAGGAUUCUGCCCUUUCCUUAUUUCUGUGCUGAAGUUACGGCAGGCAAAAUGGAACUGGAGGUUGAAUAAGCUGGAGAAUCCAGCACAGAAGCCAAUUGGCUGCAUGACAAGAAACCCAGGCAUUUGCCCGUCACAAGAAUGAAGCAGAAGAAGGAAAGGUGUAAGGGACAAAUAAUGUCUUUCUUAAUUGAUACCAAGGCUGGCCUUUAUGCAUUAAGAAGCUUAUAGCAGAAAGCCACAGUGCACAAUCAGAGGAAAACAGAAUGCAGCGGGCUUCUUUUCAGGCUCUCGAUCAUCAAAACAGCACAAGAGUAGAAAGGAAAAAAAAAUGCAUGAUGGUGGGAAGUCAAUCAGAGCCUGGAGUCUCUGUGUUGUGAAAUGUCUCCCAUUGUUUUACUUAUGUAGCAUACCUAUUGGUUUUGAAGUGCUCUAAUCUGUAGGGUGAAGAGCAGUGAAAUGAAGAGUCACUGAUUUCAAAUUUUCCUUUCGUCCAUUGAAGGUAAAAACAUAUUACUGAGUUUAGAAUCUCAACACUAUAAUUAUAUCUUUGGCAACCUGAACAGGCAUGUUAAAGUCUUAUCAAACUAUC
Long non-coding RNA from Felis catus (domestic cat), 952 nucleotides. RefSeq lists it as uncharacterized. The transcript has 4 exons. The record is from RefSeq and is a predicted model, not a curated record. Lineage: Eukaryota; Metazoa; Chordata; Mammalia; Carnivora; Felidae.